AUGCUCACUUCGGCAGCACAUAUACUAAAAUUGGAACGAUACAGAGAAGAUUAGCAUGGUCCCUGUGCAAGGAUGACAUGCAAUUUCCACAUUUAAAAACUUCAUGUUU
Suncus etruscus (white-toothed pygmy shrew) is the source of this 109-nucleotide small nuclear RNA. Lineage: Eukaryota; Metazoa; Chordata; Mammalia; Eulipotyphla; Soricidae. The record is from RefSeq and is a predicted model, not a curated record.